CCUACGGGGGGCAGCAGUGGGGAAUAUUGCACAAUGGGGGAAACCCUGAUGCAGCGACGCCGCGUGAGUGAAGAAGUAAUUCGGUAUGUAAAGCUCUAUCAGCAGGGAAGAAAAUGACGGUACCUGAGGAAGAAGCCACGGCUAACUACGUGCCAGCAGCCGCGGUAAUACGUAGGGGGCAAGCGUUAUCCGGAGUGACUGGGGGUAAAGGGAGCGUAGACGGCAGUGCAAGUCUGGAGUGAAAGGCGGGGGCUCAACCCCCGGACUGCUCUGGAAACGGUACGGCGGGAGUGCAGGAGAGGUCAGUGGAAUUCCUCGUGUCGCGGUGAAAUUCUUCGAUAUUAGGCGGAACCCCAGUGGCGAAGGCGGCUUACUGGACUGUACCUGCCGUUGAGGCUCGAACGCGUGGGGAGCAAACAGGAUUAGAUACCCUUGUAGUC
Molecule: ribosomal RNA, 440 nt
Filed under: uncultured bacterium
Lineage: Bacteria
Description: partial 16S ribosomal RNA
Rfam family: Bacterial small subunit ribosomal RNA
Source: RNAcentral